AUGGGCAAGGGCGGCGGCUGCGUCCCCAGCAAGAAGCGCCAGCCGCCGGCCACCACCGUCGCCGCCGCGCCCUCGUCGUCGUCAGCCACCGCGGUCCCGCGGGACGCGCCCGAGGAGGCCCUGGACGCACCCACCGGGGAGUCGAGGCGGACGCUGCGGCUGUACAUCGUGUUCUACUCGAUGUACGGGCACGUGGAGGCGCUGGCGCGUCACGCGGCAGCGGGAGCGGGUGCGGUGGAGGGGGUGGAGGUCGUCCUGCGGCGGGUGCCGGAGACUCUCUCGCCGGAGGUGCUGGAGAAGAUGCAGGCGCCAUCCAAGGACCCCACCGUCCCGGUCAUCUCAGCGCCGGCCGACCUGGAGGAAGCCGACGGGGUGCUGUUCGGGUUCCCGACCAGGUACGGCGCCAUGGCCGCGCAGAUGAAGGCAUUCUUUGACUCCACAGGCUCCCUCUGGGAGAAGCAGAGGCUCGCCGGGAAGCCCGCCGGAUUCUUCGUCAGCACCGGCACCCAGGGCGGCGGCCAGGAGACCACUGCUUGGACGGCAAUCACCCAGCUGGUGCACCACGGGAUGCUGUUUGUUCCCAUCGGCUACACCUUUGGCUUGGGCAUGUUUAACAUGGACGACAUCAGAGGGGGCAGCCCCUAUGGAGCUGGAGUUCUUGCUGGUGACGGUAGCAGGCAGCCCAGCGAGGCGGAACUUGCCCUCGCCGAGCACCAGGGCAAGUACAUGGCCGCCUUCGUCAAGAAGCUCGGCCAGGCCUGA
This 762-nucleotide ribosomal RNA is filed under the name Triticum aestivum (bread wheat). RNAcentral describes it as "partial small subunit ribosomal RNA". The record is from RNAcentral. Lineage: Eukaryota; Viridiplantae; Streptophyta; Magnoliopsida; Poales; Poaceae.